Coffea arabica (coffee) is the source of this 137-nucleotide non-coding RNA. NCBI's taxonomy places the organism in Eukaryota, Viridiplantae, Streptophyta, Magnoliopsida, Gentianales, Rubiaceae. The record is from RefSeq and is a predicted model, not a curated record.
UUAUAUGGAGUAACAGCUUCUGAAGAUGAAGAAGAUAGAGAAAGACUGAGUAUUGACUUUGCACCUUUAGUUGCUAAACUUACUAACCUUCAUGUUUAGGAAUCUUCUCUGUUUUGUGUUGAGCCAGCAGCAAACUU